AAGGCCAUUCUCAGUUUCUGCUACUCUCUGCAAACCCUAAUUUCUUCAUAUCUUUCCGGUAUUCAACGACAAACCCAUAUCCCUAAAUGCAAAUUUCUUCAUUUUUUCCUCCUCCCGUUCCUGCAGGAGCGUCAGAUGUAUACAGAUGAGCAGAUCCUCAAGUCCAAGAUCGAGCUCCUUAACUGACCAACACGGUGGACUACGCCAUGGACAUCCACAAGUCCCUCCAUCACACGAAGAUGUUCCCCAAGAAGCAUGUCGAGCGUCGAGACGGGGAUGGCACCAACGUCGGCAAGAGCAGCGAUUAGACUAUCAAGAAGUUUGUCGGACUUCAUCAACGAGAUCAAAGCUGAUCAGAAUGUUCUCUUUGAGCUGGUCUUGGCUUCAAUCAAAUCAGCACCCACAACUGGAGGAGUCAAGAAGCCUGACCGCUACCGCCCUGGAAUCGUCACUCUUCGUGAAAAAACAUACUAAAGCAACAACGUUAUGGUGGUGGGAAUAAGCGUUCUCAGUUUGAUCGAAUCAGGUUGAAUUGAAUAAUCCUUGAAGUGACAAGAAGGAGCCAACUAAGUUUGCCUUAAGCCGGCGAAGGAAUCAUGGGAACAGAGCUCAGACUAUCAGAGAUGACGGAAGUCGACCCGAGUUCAAAUUGAAACAAUAUGAUUAUUUUGGUUAUGA
Malus domestica (apple) is the source of this 678-nucleotide long non-coding RNA. RefSeq lists it as uncharacterized. Lineage: Eukaryota; Viridiplantae; Streptophyta; Magnoliopsida; Rosales; Rosaceae. The record is from RefSeq and is a predicted model, not a curated record.